Molecule: ribosomal RNA, 436 nt
Filed under: Streptococcus mutans
Lineage: Bacteria; Bacillati; Bacillota; Bacilli; Lactobacillales; Streptococcaceae
Description: bacterial SSU rRNA
Rfam family: Bacterial small subunit ribosomal RNA
Source: RNAcentral
GACGAACGCUGGCGGCGUGCCUAAUACAUGCAAGUGGGACGCAAGGGAACACACUGUGCUUGCACACCGUGUUUUCUUGAGUCGCGAACGGGUGAGUAACGCGUAGGUAACCUGCCUAUUAGCGGGGGAUAACUAUUGGAAACGAUAGCUAAUACCGCAUAAUAUUAAUUAUUGCAUGAUAAUUGAUUGAAAGAUGCAAGCGCAUCACUAGUAGAUGGACCUGCGUUGUAUUAGCUAGUUGGUAAGGUAAGAGCUUACCAAGGCGACGAUACAUAGCCGACCUGAGAGGGUGAUCGGCCACACUGGGACCGAGACACGGCCCAGACUCCUACGGGAGGCAGCAGUAGGGAAUCUUCGGCAAUGGACGAAAGUCUGACCGAGCAACGCCGCGUGAGUGAAGAAGGUUUUCGGAUCGUAAAGCUCUGUUGUAAGUCAA